GACGUAGGGCGCGAGCGUUGUCCGGAAUUAUUGGGCGUAAAGCGCGCGCAGGCGGUCCUUUAAGUCUGAUGUGAAAGCCCUCGGCUCAACCGAGGAGGGUCAUUGGAAACUGGAGGACUUGAGUGCAGAAGAGGAAAGUGGAAUUCCAAGUGUAGCGGUGAAAUGCGUAGAGAUUUGGAGGAACACCAGUGGCGAAGGCGACUUUCUGGUCUGUAACUGACGCUGAGGCGCGAAAGCGUGGGGAGCAAACAGG
Molecule: ribosomal RNA, 253 nt
Filed under: uncultured bacterium
Lineage: Bacteria
Description: partial 16S ribosomal RNA
Rfam family: Bacterial small subunit ribosomal RNA
Source: RNAcentral